AUUGAACGCUGGCGGCAUGCCUUACACAUGCAAGUCGAACGGUAACAGGUCUCCGGAUGCUGACGAGUGGCGAACGGGUGAGUAAUACAUCGGAACGUGCCUAGUAGUGGGGGAUAACUACUCGAAAGAGUGGCUAAUACCGCAUGAGAUCUACGGAUGAAAGCAGGGGAUCGCAAGACCUUGUGCUACUAGAGCGGCCGAUGGCAGAUUAGGUAGUUGGUGGGAUAAAAGCUUACCAAGCCGACGAUCUGUAGCUGGUCUGAGAGGACGAUCAGCCACACUGGGACUGAGACACGGCCCAGACUCCUACGGGAGGCAGCAGUGGGGAAUUUUGGACAAUGGGCGCAAGCCUGAUCCAGCAAUGCCGCGUGCAGGAUGAAGGCCUUCGGGUUGUAAACCGCUUUUGUACGGAACGAAAAGCCCCGGGUUAAUACCCUGGGGUCAUGACGGUACCGUAAGAAUAAGCACCGGCUAACUACGUGCCAGCAGCCGCCGUAA
RNAcentral lists this ribosomal RNA (498 nucleotides) under uncultured bacterium. RNAcentral describes it as "partial 16S ribosomal RNA". It matches the Rfam family "Bacterial small subunit ribosomal RNA", at positions 30 to 523 of the family's 1533-position model. The record is from RNAcentral.